AUUGAACGCUGGCGGAAUGCUUUACACAUGCAAGUCGAACGGCAGCACGGACUUUGGUCUGGUGGCGAGUGGCGAACGGGUGAGUAAUGUAUCGGAACGUGCCCAGUCGUGGGGGAUAACGUAGUGAAAAUUACGCUAAUACCGCAUACGAUCUAUGGAUGAAAGCGGGGGAUCGCAAGACCUCGCGCGAUUGGAGCGGCCGAUAUCAGAUUAGGUAGUUGGUGGGGUAAAGGCCCACCAAGCCAACGAUCUGUAGCUGGUCUGAGAGGACGACCAGCCACACUGGAACGGGGACACGGUCCAGACUCCUACGGGAGGCAGCAGUGGGGAAUUUCGGACAAUGGGCGAAAGCCUGAUCCAGCCAUUCCGCGUGCAGGAUGAAGGCCCUCGGGUUGUAAACUGCUUUUGUACAGAACGAAAAGGUUUCUACUAAUACUAGGAGCUCAUGACGGUACUGUAAGAAUAAGCACCGGCUAACUACGUGCCAGCCGCCGCAGUAA
Molecule: ribosomal RNA, 500 nt
Filed under: uncultured bacterium
Lineage: Bacteria
Description: partial 16S ribosomal RNA
Rfam family: Bacterial small subunit ribosomal RNA
Source: RNAcentral